RNAcentral lists this transfer RNA (75 nucleotides) under Coriobacteriia bacterium. Its description in RNAcentral is "tRNA-Gly". It matches the Rfam family "tRNA". From Rfam's summary of the family: Transfer RNA (tRNA) molecules are approximately 80 nucleotides in length. Their secondary structure includes four short double-helical elements and three loops (D, anti-codon, and T loops). Further hydrogen bonds mediate the characteristic L-shaped molecular structure. tRNAs have two regions of fundamental functional importance: the anti-codon, which is responsible for specific mRNA codon recognition, and the 3' end, to which the tRNAs corresponding amino acid is attached (by aminoacyl-tRNA synthetases). tRNAs cope with the degeneracy of the genetic code in two manners: having more than one tRNA (with a specific anti-codon) for a particular amino acid; and 'wobble' base-pairing, i.e. permitting non-standard base-pairing at the 3rd anti-codon position. The record is from RNAcentral. Lineage: Bacteria; Bacillati; Actinomycetota; Coriobacteriia.
GCGGAUGUGGCUCAGUGGUAGAGCACAACCUUGCCAAGGUUGGGGUCGCGGGUUCGAAUCCCGUCAUCCGCUCCA